GAUGAAGAACGCAGCGAAAUGCGAUAAGUAAUGUGAAUUGCAGAAUUCAGUGAAUCAUCGAAUCUUUGAACGCACAUUGGGCCCGCCAGCAUUCUGGCGGGCAUGCCUGUUCGAGCGUCAUUUCAACCCUCGAGCCCCCCCCGGGGGCCUCGGUGUUGGGGGACGGCACACCAGCCGCCCCCGAAAUGCAGUGGCGACCCCGCCGCAGCCUCCCCUGCGUAGUAGCACACACCUCGCACCGGAGCGCGGAGGCGGUCACGCCGUAAAACGCCCAACUUUCUUAGAGUUGACCUCGGAUCAGGUAGGAAUACCCGCUGAACUUAAGCAUAUCAAUAAGCGGAGGA
This 344-nucleotide unclassified non-coding RNA is filed under the name soil metagenome. RNAcentral describes it as "partial contains 5.8S ribosomal RNA, internal transcribed spacer 2, and large subunit ribosomal RNA". The stretch from base 1 to 120 matches the Rfam family "5.8S ribosomal RNA", at positions 35 to 154 of the family's 154-position model. The record is from RNAcentral.